UACAGAGGGUGCGAGCGUUAAUCGGAAUUACUGGGCGUAAAGCGCACGUAGUCGGCUUUGCAAGUCGGGUGUGAAAUCCCCGGGCUCAACCUGGGAACUGCAUUUGUGACUGCAUGGCUAGAGUACGGUAGAGGGGGAUGGAAUUCCGCGUGUAGCAGUGAAAUGCGUAGAUAUGCGGAGGAACACCGAUGGCGAAGGCAAUCCCCUGGACCUGUACUGACGCUCAUGCACGAAAGCGUGGGGAGCAAACAGG
RNAcentral lists this ribosomal RNA (253 nucleotides) under uncultured bacterium. RNAcentral describes it as "partial 16S ribosomal RNA". It matches the Rfam family "Bacterial small subunit ribosomal RNA", at positions 524 to 776 of the family's 1533-position model. The record is from RNAcentral.